UAUACCCGUUAAGGCAUGAUGGCCUGUACCCGAAACCGACACAGGUGGGGUGGUAGAGAAUACCGAGGGGCGCGAGGUAACUCUCUCUAAGGAACUCGGCAAAAUGGCCCCGUAACUUCGGGAGAAGGGGUGCCACCGCAAGGUGGUCGCAGUGAAGAGGCCUAGGCGACUGUUUACCAAAAACACAGGUCUCCGCUAAGUCGCAAGACGAUGUAUGGGGGCUGACGCCUGCCCAGUGCCGGAAGGUUAAGGAAGCUGGUCAGCGUAAGCGAAGCUAGCGACUGAAGCCCCGGUGAACGGCGGCCGUAACUAUAACGGUCCUAAGGUAGCGAAAUUCCUUGUCGGGUAAGUUCCGACCCGCACGAAAGGCGUAACGAUCUGGGCGCUGUCUCGGAGAGAGGCUCGGCGAAAUAGAAUUGUCUGUGAAGAUGCGGACUACGUGCACCCGGACAGAAAGACCCUAUGAAGCUUUACUGUAGCUUGGUAUUGUGCUCGGGCUCGGAAUGCGCAGGAUAGGUGGGAGGCUAUGAACCAUUGCUUGCGGGUGAUGGUGAGCCACUGGUGAGAUACCACUCUUUCCGAGCUAGAGUUCUAACAGCCACCCGUUAUCCGGGGGCUGGACAGUAUCAGGUGGGCAGUUUGACUGGGGCGGUCGCCUCCUAAAAGGUAACGGAGGCGCGCAAAGGUUUGCUCAGGCUGGUUGGAAAUCAGCCGACGAGUGUAAAAGCAGAAGCAAGCUUGACUGUGAGACCUACAGUCGAACAGGGAGGAAACUCGGCUUUAGUGAUCCGACGGUUCUGCGUGGAAGGGCCGUCGCUCAACGGAUAAAAGUUACUCUAGGAUAACAGGCUGAUCUCCCCCAAGAGUUCACAUCGACGGGGAGGUUUGGCACCUCGAUGUCGGCUCAUCGCAACCUGGGGCUGAAGUCGGUCCCAAGGGUUGGGCUGUUCGCCCAUUAAAGCGGUACGCGAGCUGGGUUCAGAACGUCGUGAGACAGUUCGGUCCAUAUCCGGUGCAUGCGCAGGAAUAUUGAGAGGAUUUCUCCCUAGUACGAGAGGACCGGGAGGAACGCACCUCUGGUGUACCAGUUAUCGUGCCAACGGUAAACGCUGGGUAGCCAUGUGCGGAGAGGAUAACCGCUGAAAGCAUCUAAGUGGGAAGCCCACCUCAAGAUGAGUAUUCCCAUGGGGUAACCCAGUAAGGUCACGGGAAGAACACCCGUUGAUAGGCUCUACGUGGAAGCGCAGUAAUGUGUGAAGCGGAGGAGUACUAAUAGACCGAGGGCUUGAC
This 1290-nucleotide ribosomal RNA is filed under the name metagenome. RNAcentral's name for it is "bacterial LSU rRNA". It matches the Rfam family "Bacterial large subunit ribosomal RNA", at positions 1619 to 2925 of the family's 2925-position model. The record is from RNAcentral.